Molecule: ribosomal RNA, 500 nt
Filed under: uncultured bacterium
Lineage: Bacteria
Description: partial 16S ribosomal RNA
Rfam family: Bacterial small subunit ribosomal RNA
Source: RNAcentral
AUUGAACGCUGGCGGCAUGCCUUACACAUGCAAGUCGAACGGCAGCACGGGAGCAAUCCUGGUGGCGAGUGGCGAACGGGUGAGUAAUGUAUCGGAACGUGCCCAGUCGUGGGGGAUAACGUAGCGAAAGCUACGCUAAUACCGCAUACGAUCUAUGGAUGAAAGCGGGGGAUCGCAAGACCUCGCGCGAUUGGAGCGGCCGAUAUCAGAUUAGGUAGUUGGUGGGGUAAAGGCUCACCAAGCCGACGAUCUGUAGCUGGUCUGAGAGGACGACCAGCCACACCGGGACUGAGACACGGCCCAGACUCCUACGGGAGGAAGCAGUGGGGAAUUUUGGACAAUGGGCGCAAGCCUGAUCCAGCAAUGCCGCGGGCAGGAUGAAGGCCUUCGGGUUGUAAACUGCUUUUGUACGGAACGAAACGGUGAGCUCUAAUACAGUUUGCUAAUGACGGUACCGUAAGAAUAAGCACCGGCUAACUACGUGCCAGCCGCCGCCGUAA